GAUGAAGAACGCAGCGAAAUGCGAUAAGUAAUGUGAAUUGCAGAAUUCAGUGAAUCAUCGAAUCUUUGAACGCACCUUGCGCUCCUUGGUAUUCCGAGGAGCAUGUCUGUUUGAGUGUCAUUAAUAUAUCAACCUUCUCUUUUUUGAGUUGUUUGGAUGUGGGGGUUUGCUGGCCUCUUAAAUGAUUCAGCUCCCCUGAAAUGCAUUAGCAGAACAACCUGUUCAUUAGCGUGAUAAUUAUCUAUGCUAUUGAAUGUGAGGGCAGUUCAGCUUUCUAACCGUCCUUGGACAAUUCAUCAUUAAUGUGACCUCAAAUCAGGUAGGACUACCCGCUGAACUUAAGCAUAUCAAUAAGCGGAGGA
This 362-nucleotide unclassified non-coding RNA is filed under the name soil metagenome. RNAcentral describes it as "partial contains 5.8S ribosomal RNA, internal transcribed spacer 2, and large subunit ribosomal RNA". The stretch from base 1 to 120 matches the Rfam family "5.8S ribosomal RNA", at positions 35 to 154 of the family's 154-position model. The record is from RNAcentral.